RNAcentral lists this long non-coding RNA (1257 nucleotides) under Ursus maritimus (polar bear). RNAcentral's name for it is "lncRNA (ENSUMAG00000005884.1)". Lineage: Eukaryota; Metazoa; Chordata; Mammalia; Carnivora; Ursidae. The record is from RNAcentral.
AUGCAGAGACACCCUGGAAUAUACGGAGAUCCCCUGGAAUACACAGAGAUGCCCUGGAAUAUGCAGAGAUCCCCUGGAAUACGCAGAAGCGCCCUGGAAUACACAGAGAUCCCCUGGAAUACACAGAGACACCCCAGAAUACACAGAGAUCCCCCAGAAUAUACAGAGAUCCCCCGGAAUAUGCAGAGACGCCCUGCAAUAUACGGAGAUCCCCUGGAAUACACAGAGAUGCCCUGGAAUAUGCAGAGAUCCCCUGGAAUACGCAGAAGCGCCCUGGAAUACACAGAGAUCCCCUGGAAUACACAGAGAUCCCCUGAAAUAUGCACAGGUGCCGUGGAAUGUGCAGAGAUCUCCUGGAAUACGCAGAGACGCCCUGGAAUACACAGAGAUGCCCUGGAAUACACAGAGAUCCCCUGGAAUAUGCAGAGAUCCCCUGGAAUACACAGAGAUCCCCCAGAAUACACACAGACAUCCUGGAAUACACACAGAUCCCCUGGAACACGCAGAGGUGCCCUGGAAUAUGCAGAGAUCCCCUGGAAUACAAAGAGAUACUCUGAAAUACGCAGAGAUAGCCUGGAAUACACAGAGAUGCCCUGGAAUAGGCAGAGAUCCCCUGAAAUACGCAGAGAUGCCCCGGAAUAUGCAGAGAUCCCCUGGAAUACACAGAGAUCCCCUGACAUACGCAGAGGUACCCUGGAAUAUGCAGAGAUCCCCUGGAAUACGCAGAGACACCCUGGAAUACGCAGAGACACCCUGGAAUACGAAGAGAUCCCCUGGAAUACGCAGAGACGCUCUGGAAUACACAUAGAUCCCCUGGAAUACGCAGAGAUCCCCCGGAAUACGCAGAGAUCCCCUGGAAUAUUCAGAGACGCCCUGGAAUAUGCAGAGACACUCUGGAAUACACAGAGGCGCUCUGGAAUAUGCAGAGAUCCCCUGGAAUACGCCGAGAUCUCCUGGAAUAGGCAGAGACGCCCUGGAAUAUACAGAGAUCACCUGGAAUACACAGAGGCGCCCUGGAAUACACAGAGGCGCUCUGGAAUACGCAGAGAUCCCCUGGAAUAUGCCGAGAUCUCCUGGAAUAGGCAGAGACGCCCUGGAAUAUACAGAGAUUCCCCGGAAUACACAGAGAUGCCCUGGAAUACGCAGAGAUCCCCUGGAAUAGGCAGAGAUGCCCUGGAAUACGCAGAGAUCUCCUGGAAUAGGCAGAGACGCCCUGGAAUACACAGAGAUCCCCUGGAAUACACAGAGGUGCCUUAA